AUUAAGAUCUCAACUGACUCAACGUUUAACCGUCCAUCUUAUUUAAAAAAAUAAUUAGUAGUUUUAUUGUUAUAUAAGAUGAUAAAACAUAAAUAGUAAUUUAUAUGUGACUAAUUUAUUUAAUUUUUUUCAUAAAAUUUUUAAAUAAGAUAAGUGAUUAAAUAUUGGGCACGAAAAUCCACCGCACACUUAAA
Molecule: microRNA precursor, 194 nt
Filed under: Oryza barthii
Lineage: Eukaryota; Viridiplantae; Streptophyta; Magnoliopsida; Poales; Poaceae
Description: MIR812 microRNA precursor family
Rfam family: MIR812 microRNA precursor family
Source: Rfam by way of RNAcentral